UUGUUGAUGCUGUUGUUGGUGU
RNAcentral lists this microRNA (22 nucleotides) under Oreochromis niloticus (Nile tilapia). RNAcentral describes it as "oni-miR-10770". Lineage: Eukaryota; Metazoa; Chordata; Actinopteri; Cichliformes; Cichlidae. The record is from miRBase by way of RNAcentral.